UACGGAGGAUCCGAGCGUUAUCCGGAUUUAUUGGGUUUAAAGGGAGCGUAGGCGGGUUGUUAAGUCAGUUGUGAAAGUUUGCGGCUCAACCGUAAAAUUGCAGUUGAUACUGGCAUCCUUGAGUGCAGAAGAGGAGAGUGGAACUCCAUGUGUAGCGGUGAAAUGCGUAGAUAUAUGGAAGAACACCAGUGGCGAAAGCGGCUCUCUGGUCUGUAACUGACGCUGAGGUUCGAAAGCGUGGGUAGCAAACAGG
Molecule: ribosomal RNA, 253 nt
Filed under: uncultured bacterium
Lineage: Bacteria
Description: partial 16S ribosomal RNA
Rfam family: Bacterial small subunit ribosomal RNA
Source: RNAcentral